GUAGGGAAUAUUGCGCAAUGGACGAAAGUCUGACGCAGCAACACCGCGUGGGUGAUGACGCAUUUAGGUGUGUAAAACCCUGUCAGCGGGGAAGAACCGCACAAGGAGUUACUGCCUUGUGUCUGACGGUACCCGCAGAGGAAGUCCCGGCUAACUCCGUGCCAGCAGCCGCGGUAAUACGGGGGGGACAAGCGUUGUUCGGAUUUACUGGGCGUAAAGGGCGCGUAGGCGGACUCUCAAGUCGGGUGUGAAAACUGGCGGCUCAACUGCCAGCCUGCAUCCGAAACUGUGAGUCUUGAGUACGGGAGAGGAAAGCGGAAUUCCAGGUGUAGCGGUGAAAUGCGUAGAUAUCUGGAAGAACACCGGUAGCGAAGGCGGCUUUCUGGACCGAUACUGACGCUAAAGCGCGAAGGCUUGGGUAGCAAACAGG
RNAcentral lists this ribosomal RNA (430 nucleotides) under uncultured bacterium. RNAcentral's name for it is "bacterial SSU rRNA". It matches the Rfam family "Bacterial small subunit ribosomal RNA", at positions 354 to 776 of the family's 1533-position model. The record is from RNAcentral.